UUUCCGUAGGUGAACCUGCGGAAGGAUCAUUAUUGUAUAACCGAGAUGCGAGGGCUGUCGCUGACCCGAAAGGUCGUGCACGCCCGAGUGCCCUCACACACAUCCAUCUCACCCCUAUGUGCACCACCGCGUGGGUCCCCCUUUGGCUUGUUCGGAGGGGGGCUUACGUUUUCACACAAACUUUGUAUGCAGUGUAGAAUGUAUUUUUUGUUUUUGCGAUCACGCAAUCAAUACAACUUUCAACAACGGAUCUCUUGGCUCUC
RNAcentral lists this unclassified non-coding RNA (263 nucleotides) under plant metagenome. RNAcentral describes it as "partial contains small subunit ribosomal RNA, internal transcribed spacer 1, and 5.8S ribosomal RNA". The record is from RNAcentral.